Molecule: ribosomal RNA, 264 nt
Filed under: uncultured archaeon
Lineage: Archaea
Description: partial 16S ribosomal RNA
Rfam family: Archaeal small subunit ribosomal RNA
Source: RNAcentral
CACGACUACAUUAGAUACCCGCGUAGUCCUAGCCGUAAACGAUACUCGCUAGGUGUCGGCCACGGUGCGACCGUUGUCGGUGCCGUAGGGAAACCGUGAAGCGAGCCACCUGGGAAGUACGGCCGCAAGGCUGAAACUUAAAGGAAUUGGCGGGGGAGCACAACAACGGGUGGAGCUUGCGGUUUAAUUGGAUUCAACGCCGGAAAUCUUACCGGGACCGACAGCAACAUGAAGGCCAAGCUGAAGACUUUGCCGGAUUAGCUG